GUAGGUGGCAAGCGUUGUCCGGAAUUAUUGGGCGUAAAGCGCGCGCAGGUGGGUUCUUUAAGUCUGAUGUGAAAGCCCCCGGGCUCAACCGGGGAGGGUCAUUGGAAACUGGGGAACUUGAGUGCAGGAGAGGAAAGUGGAAUUCCACGUGUAGCGGUGAAAUGCGUAGAUAUGUGGAGGAACACCAGUGGCGAAGGCGACUUUCUGGCCUGUAACUGACACUGAGGCGCGAAAGCGUGGGGAGCAAACAGGAUUAGAUACCCUGGUAGUCCACGCCGUAAACGAUGAGUGCUAAGUGUUGGGGGGUUUCCGCCCCUCAGUGCUGCAGCUAACGCAUUAAGCACUCCGCCUGGGGAGUACGGUCGCAAGACUA
RNAcentral lists this ribosomal RNA (373 nucleotides) under uncultured organism. RNAcentral's name for it is "partial 16S ribosomal RNA". It matches the Rfam family "Bacterial small subunit ribosomal RNA", at positions 527 to 896 of the family's 1533-position model. The record is from RNAcentral.